AUGUACCAGGCGUACAUGCCGGAUCUGGGCGCGCCACUCGCACCCACCUGAUGACCGCUCGCGACGUUUGUCUACC
This 76-nucleotide small RNA is filed under the name Xanthomonas floridensis. RNAcentral's name for it is "sX9 sRNA". It matches the Rfam family "Xanthomonas sRNA sX9". Lineage: Bacteria; Pseudomonadati; Pseudomonadota; Gammaproteobacteria; Lysobacterales; Lysobacteraceae. The record is from RNAcentral.